RNAcentral lists this ribosomal RNA (300 nucleotides) under uncultured Hyphomonadaceae bacterium. RNAcentral's name for it is "bacterial SSU rRNA". It matches the Rfam family "Bacterial small subunit ribosomal RNA", at positions 114 to 432 of the family's 1533-position model. The record is from RNAcentral. Lineage: Bacteria; Pseudomonadati; Pseudomonadota; Alphaproteobacteria; Hyphomonadales; Hyphomonadaceae.
CGCGUGGAAACGUGCCUUUCACUACGGAAUAGCUUUUGGAAACGAAAGGUAAUACCGUAUACGCCCUCCGGGGAAAGAUUUAUCGGUGAAAGAUCGGUCCGCGUUAGAUUAGCUAGUUGGUGAGGUAAGAGCUCACCAAGGCGACGAUCUAUAGCUGGUCUGAGAGGAUGAUCAGCCACACUGGGACUGAGACACGGCCCAGACUCCUACGGGAGGCAGCAGUGGGGAAUAUUGCACAAUGGGCGCAAGCCUGAUGCAGCCAUGCCGCGUGAAUGAUGAAGGCCUUAGGGUUGUAAAAUU